GUCAAUUACUCUUUCCUACUGGUUACUCGACUCUGUUCUUUAUUGCAUGGAGUAGUGUCGCAAGGCAUCGCUUAGUAUUUUAUUGCUUUUAGAUGUAGUAAUUGGGUAAAACUGGUUAUAAAACCUAAGGGAUCACAGUAAGGUAUUAAGUGGGGUUCCAGUUCAUUUACUUUGAGUAAAUUAGAGUGUUCAAAGCAGCCUGUAUGGGCAUUGAAUAGAUUAGCAUGGGAUAAUAGAAUAGGAUUCUUGUCUAUUUAUUGGUUUAUAGACUUAGAAUAAUGAUUAAUAGGGAUAGUUGGGGGCACUUGUAUUCAAUAGUCAGAGGUGAAAUUCUAGGAUUUAUUGAAGACAAACUUCAGCGAAAGCAUUUGCCAAGGAUGUUUUUCAUUAAUCAAAGAACGAAAGUUAGGGGAUCGAGACGAUUAGACACCGUCGUAGUCUUAACUAUAAACUAUAG
RNAcentral lists this ribosomal RNA (457 nucleotides) under uncultured eukaryote. RNAcentral's name for it is "bacterial SSU rRNA". It matches the Rfam family "Eukaryotic small subunit ribosomal RNA", at positions 626 to 1042 of the family's 1831-position model. The record is from RNAcentral.